AGGGUGAGAAUCCCGUUUGUCAUUUGCAGUUCUCUAUGCACGGUGUGCACUUUUAGAAUCACGCUCCUCGGGACUGGAGUGCAAAGUGAGUGGUAAAUUUCAUCCAAACGUGAACAUGUUAUUGAGACCGAUAGCAAACCAGUACCCUGAGGGAAAUGUGAAAAAAGUACUUUGAAAAGAGAAUUAAAAGAGCCUGCCCUUGCUGAAUGGAAAGCAGCCAGGAUUUCAAAUGUUUGGAAAGAUUACUACGUGUCAACAAAAACGCUGCAUCUCAUUAUGUAAAUGUGAUUUGUAACGUUGUUUGUGAUGUGCGUGGAGUUUCUUUCCUGACAUGUCAGUUUUCUAUUUUCAUAAUGAAUACCUGCGUUUUUCUACGUAGCAUGCUCAUGGGUGUGUGAGUGUUUGACUGCAUAUCUUUGUGAAAAUUGGGAGGAACGUGCCUGGUAGUUUCAAAUCUGUGUUUGUUUUCUCAAAGCCAUUGCUUUGAGCAAUCCGUGAACCUUGGCACAAUAAUACUGACUAACUGUUUCUGUUUGACCCGUCUUGAAACACGGACCAAGGAGUCUAACAGGUUUGCGAGCUUAUUGGUGUUCAAACUGUUUACGCAAUGAAAGUGGUAGCCCGGAUCUUUGCACGUGCAGCCAACCAAUUGAUUGAUAGAGGUUUGAGUUUGAGCAUUUCUGUUAGGACCCGAAAGAUGGUGAACUAUGCCUGAACAGGGUCAAGUCAGGGGAAACUCUGAUGGAGGCUCGUAGCGAUAUUGACGUGCAAAUCGUUCGUCACACUUGGGUAUAGGGGCGAAAGACUAAUCGAACCAUCUAGUAGCUGGUUUCCUCCGAAGUUUCCCUCAGGAUAGCUGGAGUUGAACAGUUUCAUCAGGUAAAGCGAAUGAUUAGAGGAAUUGGGAACGUGCUGUUUUUGACCUAUUCUCAAACUUUAAAUGGGUAAGAUGCAAUGGUUGCUUUGUUGAACGUUUUGGGAUAAAUGAUGAUUUCAAGUGGGCCAUUUUUGGUAAGCAGAACUGGCGACGAGGGAUGAACCUAACGCUGGGUUAAGGUGCUUAACUGCUUGCUCAUCAGAUACCAGAAAGGGUGUUGGUUCAUUUUAACAGCAGGACGUAGGUCGCUGAUGGGAA
RNAcentral lists this ribosomal RNA (1135 nucleotides) under Triadinium polyedricum. Its description in RNAcentral is "LSU rRNA". It matches the Rfam family "Eukaryotic large subunit ribosomal RNA", at positions 209 to 1266 of the family's 3401-position model. The record is from RNAcentral. Lineage: Eukaryota; Dinophyceae; Gonyaulacales; Pyrocystaceae.